Marmota monax (woodchuck) is the source of this 351-nucleotide long non-coding RNA. RefSeq lists it as uncharacterized. Lineage: Eukaryota; Metazoa; Chordata; Mammalia; Rodentia; Sciuridae. The record is from RefSeq and is a predicted model, not a curated record. The transcript has 3 exons.
CAGAGCCAUCUGUCGUCUGGGGGAGAACUGGAGCCCACGGAGGAGGCAGGCACAGAGCAUCGGAGUGAUCUGGGGGCUUCAUAGAGCCUUGCUCAACAGGGGCACACCACACACACCUUGUCAAAGCCCAGGGAGGGAAGGAGAGAAAAAUCAGCUUUGAAAACAGUGCGCCAGGGGGCUUGGAUUUCUCGCUGUGCGUGGAGGCACGGGCACUGCCAGCCCAUCUCACAGUUAUGCCUGCAGCCGUGGAGUGUCAGGAUCAAUGCCUGUCACUUAACUAGGCCAUGAACUCUUCAAGGGCAUGUGUUGUUCUUAUAGACCACCGUGUCCCCAGGGCCCAGCGCCUGGCAC